GGACAACAGAGGGUGGCAGAGGGGACAGCAGUGGGGGCAGGAGGGUGGCAGAGGCUACGAGGGAAGUGGCAGGGGGGGCAGCGGGAACAAGGCAGGGACCGACGGGUAGCAGAGCCCUCCAGGGAGGGGCAAAAAGGACCCCUCGGGAGCAGGGUGCCACCCCAGGAGGCCCUAAGUGCCACCAGGUCCCUGACACCUCCCCUGUCCCUUCCCCAGCUGUCCCCGGCCCUGCUGCAGCCACAGGUCAACGUGGUGGCCAUCCUGGGUGAGCUGCUGGACACCCUGCCCAGGGAGAACGAGAUGCUGCUCGGGUCCGCUGUGAGCUUGUACCGAGACGUGGUGAAAUUCACCAGGGAACUCCGGGCUACCCUGUACCGCACGGAUGACGCCUGGCGGCACCACAAUGUCACCGUGGAUGGUGAUGACCCUGUCACCUCCCUGAGCCGGGCCCUGGCCGCCUGCAAGAGCAGCCCACGGACCACCUGGAAGUGUGUGACAUGGGCAGCCCUGAAGUGGCAGCGGGCAGUGGCUGGGCCAGUGAACAGCUGGGCCCAGCUGGCCAGGAAAGCCACCGAGCUCCGCAACACCUGCAGAGGGGAGGCCAGUGAGGCAGCCGACAUGGCUGCCGCUGCCACCGCCCGGGCCAGAGAGCUGCAGGACGAGGCUGCCUGUGAUGAGACAGCUCAGGAAAACAUGGUGGAGCUGGGUCAGGCCCUGGGCAGGGAGGAGGGGGCCGAGGUAGUGGCCGGGCAUGGAGCCCAGGUGAGCAGAGAGGCCAUGGUGGCUGCCAGCGAGGCAACAAGGGCCACCAUGGUGAGACAGCGGGUGGAGGCGUCCCUGGGGCUGCUGGAGCGCUUGGUGGCCGCGUGUGUCGAAGCCACCGCGUUCCCUCGGGAGCUGCAGCGCAGGGUUGGGGACAUCGAGGCCGCCCUGAAGGGGACAAAUGAGGCGUCCCGCAAUGUCCCUGAGGACUUGGUGGCCAAGGUGGCCGAGGCCGAGUGGAUGUGGGAGGCCAACGCCCGCCUGGCCAAGGAUCACCUGCUGGGGACACUUCCAGACAUCAUCAAGUUCUUGUGCACUGGUGGUCCCGCCAGCCCCAGUGCCCGUGAGGUGGCCGAGCGGUGCCAAAGAGCCAUUGAUGACAUCCCAAGGCUCCUUCGACCCCUGGAGCAUCCCCAGAGGAUCCCCAGGGUGUCCCCAGAGCUGUCCCCAGCCCUGCUGCAGCCACAGGUCACCAUGGUGGCCAUCCUGGUUGAGCUGCUGGAUAUCCUGCACAGGCGGGACGAGGAGAUGCUGAUGCUGCUCGAGUCCCCAAGGUGCCUGUACAGUGAACUGGUGGAUUUCACCGAGGAGUUCCACUCCAUCCUGGAAUACACUGAUGACACCUGGUACCACCGCAAUAACUCCUCUUUAACUGACCCUCUCACCUCCCUGAGCCAGGCCCUGGCUGCCUACAAGAGCACCCCAUGGACCACCUGGUUCCAUGUGAAAAUAGCAGCGAGCAAGUGGCAGGAGGCGGUGUCUCUGCUUGUGGACAGGUGGGCCAGGCUGCCCAGGAAGGCCACCGAGCUCCACAACGCCUGCAGGGAGGUGGCCGACAGGGCGGCCACUGCCACUGCCCGGGCCAGGGACCUGCAUCAUGAGAUUGCCCAUUAUGAGACAGCUCAGGAAAACAUGGAGCUGGAUCAGGCCCUGGGCAGGGAGGAGGGGGCCGAGGUGAUGGCCGGGCAUAAAGCCCAGGUGAGGAGAGAGGCCAUGGUGGCUGCCAGCGAGGCAACAAGGGCCACCAUGGUGAGACAGCGGGUGGAGGCGGCCCUGGGGCUGCUGGAGCGCUUGGUGGCCACGUGUGACGAAGCCACCGCGUUCACCCGGGAGCUGCAGCGCAGGGUUGGGGACAUCAAGACCAGCUUGAAGGGGACAAAUGAGGCAUCAUACGAUGUCCCUGAGGACUUGGUGGCCAGGGUGGCCAUGGCUGAGCGGCUGUGGGAGGCCAACAACCGCCUGGCCAAGGAUCACCUGGAGGAGACGCUUGACGACAUCAUCAAGUUCUAUAUCGAUGGUGAACCCGUCAGCCCCAGUGGCUGUGGCGUGGCCGAGCGGUGCCAAAGAGCCACUGAGGACAUCCCAAGGCUCCUCAAACCCCGAGAGCGUCCCCAAGGUGUCCCCAAGGUGUCUCCAGUGAGCAUGGAGCUCCAAGAGCUGUCCCCGGCCCUGCUGCAGCCACAGGUCACCGUGGUGGCCACCCUGGGUGAGCUGCUGGAUACCCUGCCCAGGCAGGAAGAGGAGAUGAUGCUGCCCGUGUCCACAGCGAGCCUGUACCGGGACCUGGUGGACUUCACUGAGAGCCUCUGGGUCACCCUGUACCGCACUGAGGGCACCUGGUGGCGCCACAAUGUCACCCACGAUGAUGGUGACCCUCUCACCUCCCUGAGUGGGGUCAUGGCCGCCUAUGACAGCACCACCUGGACCAGCUGGGACGAUGUGACAAUGGCAGCCAGGAAGUGGCAGCGAUCAGUGUCUGUGCUUGUGAACAGCUGGGCCCAGCUGGCCAGGAAGGCCACCAAGCUCCACAACACCUGCANAAGGAUCACCUACGGGGGACGCUUGAUGACAUCAUCAACUUCUAUUUCACUGCUGGUCCCACCAGCCCCAGUGCCUGUGGGGUGGCCGAGCAGUGCCAAAGAGCCAUCGAGGACAUCCCAAGGCUCCUUCGACCUGUGGAGCAUCCCCAAGGUGUCCUCAAGAUGUCCCCAGUGAGCACGGAGCUCCAAGAGCUGUCCCCAACCCUGCUGCAGCCACAGGUCACCGUGGUGGCCAUCCUGGGCAAGCUCCUGGCCACCCUGCCCAGGCGGGACAAGAUGAAUCUCGUGUCCGCAGUGGACCUGUACUGGGAACUGGUGAACUUCACCAAGGACCUUCGGGUCACCCUGUACUGCACUGAUGCCACCUGGCAGCGCCACAAUGUCACUUCCAAUGGUGAUGACCCUGUCACCUUGCUGAGCCAGGUCCUGGUCACCUACAAGAGCACCCCAUGGACCCCCCAGAACCGUGUGACAAUGGCAGCCAGGAAGUGGCAGCAGUUGGUGGCCACGCUCAUGAACAGCUGGGCCCGGCUGGCCAGGGCAGCCACCAAGCUCCGCAACAGCUGCAUAGAGGCGGCUGCUGAGGCGGUUGACAGAGUCGCCCAGGCCAGAGAACAACAGCGCAGGGCUGCCUAUGGUGGGACAGCUCAGGAAAACAUGGUGGAGCUGGGUCAGGCCCUGGGCAGGGAGGAGGGGGCCGAGGAGGAGGAUCCCUAUAAAGCCCAGAAAAGGAGAGAUGCCAGGGUGGCUGCCAGCGAGGCAACAAGGGCCACCAUGGUGAGACAGCAGCUGGAGGUGGCCCUGGGGCUGCUGGAGCCCUUGGUGGCCGCGUGUGACGAAGCCACCGCGUUUCCCCGGGAGCUGGAGUGGCGGCUCAGGGACAUUGAGGCUGCCCUGAAGGGGACAAAUGAGGCGUCCCCUGAUGUCCCGGCGGACUUGGUGGCCAAGGUGGCUGAGGCUGAGCGGCUGUGGAAGGCCAACGCCCGCCUGGCCAAGGAUCACCUAUGGGGGAUGCUUGAUGACAUCAUCAACUUCUAUUUCACUGCUGGUCCCACCAGCCCCAGUGCCUGUGAGGUUGCCAAGCGGUGCCAAAGAGCCACCGAGGACAUCCCAAGGCUCCUUCGACCUGUGGAGCAUCCCCAAGAUGU
RNAcentral lists this long non-coding RNA (3730 nucleotides) under Zonotrichia albicollis (white-throated sparrow). Its description in RNAcentral is "lncRNA (ENSZALG00000009184.1)". Lineage: Eukaryota; Metazoa; Chordata; Aves; Passeriformes; Passerellidae. The record is from RNAcentral.